GUCUACCAUGCUCACACAUAUACUAAAAUUGGAAUGAUACAGAGAAGAUUAACACGGCCCCUGCGCAAGGAUGACACGCAAAUUCAUGAAGGAUUUCAUAUUAAA
This is a small nuclear RNA of Sorex fumeus (smoky shrew), 105 nucleotides long. Lineage: Eukaryota; Metazoa; Chordata; Mammalia; Eulipotyphla; Soricidae. The record is from RefSeq and is a predicted model, not a curated record.